RNAcentral lists this ribosomal RNA (533 nucleotides) under uncultured bacterium. Its description in RNAcentral is "bacterial SSU rRNA". It matches the Rfam family "Bacterial small subunit ribosomal RNA", at positions 364 to 917 of the family's 1533-position model. The record is from RNAcentral.
UUGAANUGGGCGCAAGCCUGAUCCAGCCAUGCCGCGUGAGUGAUGACGGCCUUAGGGUUGUAAAGCUCUUUCGCUCGGGACGAUAAUGACGGUACCGAGAUAAGAAGCCCCGGCUAACUUCGUGCCAGCAGCCGCGGUAAUACGAAGGGGGCUAGCGUUGUUCGGAAUUACUGGGCGUAAAGCGCGUGUAGGCGGGUCUUUAAGUCAGGGGUGAAAUGCCAAGGCUCAACCUUGGAACUGCCUUUGAUACUGGAGAUCUUGAGUCCGGAAGAGGUGAGUGGAAUUGCGAGUGUAGAGGUGAAAUUCGUAGAUAUUCGCAAGAACACCAGUGGCGAAGGCGGCUCACUGGUCCGGAACUGACGCUGAGACGCGAAAGCGUGGGGAGCAAACAGGAUUAGAUACCCUGGUAGUCCACGCUGUAAACGAUGGAUGCUAGCCGUUGGGGAGCUUGCUCUUCAGUGGCGCAGCUAACGCUUUAAGCAUCCCGCCUGGGGAGUACGGUCGCAAGAUUAAAACUCAAAGGAAUUGACGGA